RNAcentral lists this ribosomal RNA (494 nucleotides) under uncultured bacterium. Its description in RNAcentral is "bacterial SSU rRNA". It matches the Rfam family "Bacterial small subunit ribosomal RNA", at positions 899 to 1397 of the family's 1533-position model. The record is from RNAcentral.
ACUCAAAGGAAUAGACGGGGACCCGCACAAGCGGUGGAUGAUGUGGAUUAAUUCGAUGCAACGCGAAAAACCUUACCUACACUUGACAUGUCAGGAACCUCGAUGAAAGUUGAGGGUGCUCGAAAGAGAGCCUGAACACAGGUGCUGCAUGGCUGUCGUCAGCUCGUGUCGUGAGAUGUUGGGUUAAGUCCCGCAACGAGCGCAACCCUUAUCAUUAGUUGCUACGCAAGGGCACUCUAAUGAGACUGCCGGUGACAAACCGGAGGAAGGUGGGGAUGACGUCAAGUCCUCAUGGCCCUUAUGUGUAGGGCUUCACACGUCAUACAAUGGUCGGUACAGAGGGUCGCCAACCCGCGAGGGGGAGCCAAUCCCUUAAAACCGAUCGUAGUCCGGAUUGCAGUCUGCAACUCGACUGCAUGAAGUCGGAAUCGCUAGUAAUCGCGGAUCAGAAUGUCGCGGUGAAUACGUUCCCGGGUCUUGCACACACCGCCCGU